CCUCAAGUUCCCUCCCAUCUGGUGAUCUGGAGACUGCUUUACAUGCCUUUAUUUCUCACCAUCUUGAUUUGUUGGGGUUUUCUGUGUGUGUCUGCUCUGCCUAGUCUGCCUGCCUGCCCGGUUUCUCACUGGCACCCAGCAGAGAUGUCGUAUCUUCCUCUCCUGACCUCCCAUGGAGAGCUAUUUGUUUGGCUCUGUUAUUUGUUUUUAAAGUGCUACAUGUUGCUUGAAAUCUUUGAAUACCUUUGGCCCUUUUCCACAUCCAGACCACUUAUAUCUACAGCUGAGUAAGUCUGUCUUGUCCCAGAGCUCAUAAUAACUUAAACUCACCACUGAACUGUGAACGUUUGCUCCUUUCCUUUUACUGUGGCUCUUGUAUUUAUUGAGAGUUGGACAGUGAAAAGAGAAGGAGACUGGGAGAGGGAAAGGAGAAUGACAUGUGGCAAAGGACUACAACAUCGGACACCCAGGACCAUGGCCUCUGUACCCGUGUGUGGAAUUAAACCUGUGGGCCAGGCUAGUGCCCACAAUGCUCUUAACAUCGAAGAAUGAAAGUGUAGAUAGAUAGAUAGAUAGAUAGAUAGAUAGAUAGAUAGAUAGAUAGAUAGAUAGAUAGAUAGAUAGAUAGAUAGAUAGAUGACUUUAUUAAGAGAGAAAUGAGAAAUGAAACUGUCAUAGCAGUUUGGAAAAAUACAAUAAAUUAAUAAAAUACUGAAUAAGAA
Molecule: non-coding RNA, 722 nt
Organism: Xyrichtys novacula (pearly razorfish)
Lineage: Eukaryota; Metazoa; Chordata; Actinopteri; Labriformes; Labridae
Source: the annotation of a GenBank genome assembly